AAGACUAUAGACCUGCGGAGUACCUGCGGAAGGAUCAUUAUCUAUAACCGGGUGUGGCUGCGGCCUCCGGGGGCGUGGGCGUCGAGAUGAUGCCCUCUCUUCCGGGUGGUAGAGGUAAAACUCUCACGCGCCACAUGUCUGAAUCCUUUUUUUACGAGCACCUUUCGUUCUCCUUCGGUGGGGUGACCUGCCGUUGGAACCCAUCAAAACUCUUUUUGCAUCUAGCAUUACCUGUUCUGA
RNAcentral lists this unclassified non-coding RNA (240 nucleotides) under soil metagenome. Its description in RNAcentral is "partial contains 5.8S ribosomal RNA, internal transcribed spacer 2, and large subunit ribosomal RNA". The record is from RNAcentral.